This 235-nucleotide ribosomal RNA is filed under the name uncultured bacterium. RNAcentral describes it as "partial 16S ribosomal RNA". It matches the Rfam family "Bacterial small subunit ribosomal RNA", at positions 1266 to 1500 of the family's 1533-position model. The record is from RNAcentral.
GGCAAAACUCAAAAAAUAGANCUCAGUUCGGACUGUAGGCUGCAACUCGCCUACACGAAGUUGGAAUUGCUAGUAAUCGUGGAUCAGCAUGCCACGGUGAAUACGUUCCCGGGUCUUGUACACACCGCCCGUCACACCAUGGGAGCUGGUAACACCCGAAGUCAGCAGUCUAACCGCAAGGAGGACGCUGCCGAAGGUGGGAUUAGCGACUGGGGUGAAGUCGUAACAAGGUAAC